Nomascus leucogenys (northern white-cheeked gibbon) is the source of this 1064-nucleotide long non-coding RNA. RefSeq lists it as uncharacterized. NCBI's taxonomy places the organism in Eukaryota, Metazoa, Chordata, Mammalia, Primates, Hylobatidae. The record is from RefSeq and is a predicted model, not a curated record. The transcript is spliced from 3 exons.
AGUCCCUUUCCAUAUUCCGCUUCAUUCUCCCCUCCUGGCGUGCCUCAAGGAACGACCACUGUCCCCACGUUACAGGUGCUUCUUCACCCCAACAAGGCUCAGUCAAGUGUGUUCUUCUCUGGGAAGCUGCAGACAUCUGACCCCAGGCCACAGAGUCAUACCCAGUCUGGCUCCCACAGCCCUCCCAGGCUGUCUGGUGUCAGUGCAGUAUUGUGGAUGGGAAGACACCUCUACCAUGUUGAGCUGCUCUGAGGUUUAAAUGUGUUACUGCUAACUGGGAUCUUAGAACAACUCCUGGUGCAUAGACACACACAGGACAGACUGGAAUAAAUACUGGUGGUUUAUCACAGGAAGGCUGGCCUCAGCUUGGGAGAGUGAGCGUGCACGCAUACACAGCCAGCUGAUUUAUUGUGACCCGAGCCAAGCACUGAACAGAGCGAGGCCAUUUAUCUACUUGGUUGGAGGAGAGGUCAAGAGAGAGAAGUCAGAGAUUAAGCUAAAUAGUUCAGUGCCUUUGUUAACUCCUGGGGCGUCUCCUCCCCGCGGCUUGUGUUCCCAGGGAAUACUGUCAUGAGCUCCACGGGGAAGACUGGACUGCUUCUUGGGGAGACAGCCCUGGCUCCAGGGAGCAGCGUGGCCAAGGACAUUCUCAGCCUCUUGGGGUUGCCAAAAGGGAGCAGAAGCAGGAGGAGGGAGGCGGGGAGCUGGGAGGAACACCCCAUCGUGGAAGACCUGCUGCCAAUGCGGGGCUACGGUCCCAGUCUCUCCCACCACCAGACCCUGGUCAGGAGGCAUCACAGAGAGGCUCCCUUCUCCCGCCUUCAUUCAGGGCUCUGCUCAAACAGCCCAUUUGCAAUAGGACUUCCUGCAGCGUCCUAGUUAAAUACCCCCACCCAUCCCUUCCCCUGCUUUAUUUUUCUUCAUGGUGCUCAGCACCCUGACAUAUCUAUGUCUGUUUUUGUUUACUUAUUGUUGGGUCUGUUUUUGAAUGAACUGCUAUGUCUCUGGUGUAAAGUCCAACGUGUGGCAGAUUGUAGGUGCUCAACAAAUAUCUAUUCAGUGAA